This 406-nucleotide ribosomal RNA is filed under the name uncultured bacterium. RNAcentral's name for it is "partial 16S ribosomal RNA". It matches the Rfam family "Bacterial small subunit ribosomal RNA", at positions 30 to 526 of the family's 1533-position model. The record is from RNAcentral.
AUUGAACGCUGGCGGCAGGCCUAACACAUGCAAGUCGAACGAGUGGCGGACGGGUGAGUAAUGUCUGGGAAACUGCCUGAUGGAGGGGGAUAACUACUGGAAACGGUAGCUAAUACCGCAUACCAUCAGAUGUGCCCAGAUGGGAUUAGCGAGUAGGUGGGGUAAUGGCUAACCUGGGCGACGAUCCCUAGCUGGUCGGAGAGGAGGACCAGCCACACGGGAACUGAGACACGGUCCAGACUCCUACGGGAGGCAGCAGUGGGGAAUAUUGGACAAUGGGCGAAAGCCUGAUCCAGCCAGGCCGCGUGUGUGAAGAAGGUCUUCGGAUUGUAAAGCACUUUAAGUUGGGAGGCGUUACCAACAGAAUAAGCACCGGCUAACUUCGUGCCAGCAGCCGCGGUAAUUC